This 2431-nucleotide unclassified non-coding RNA is filed under the name Penaeus chinensis. Its description in RNAcentral is "probable G-protein coupled receptor Mth-like 1, transcript variant X1". The record is from RNAcentral. Lineage: Eukaryota; Metazoa; Arthropoda; Malacostraca; Decapoda; Penaeidae.
CGAGACAAAAGCAAGUAGUGUGUUUGGAUCUGCGAAUGUGAGUGAACGUGACCCUAUUCGGGGAAUGAAAUACUCGCAAACGACCUUACCUGUUAACGCUGCAGAUAAUGCUGAGUAAUCAAAUCCUGGAAUCGAUUUCAAUGUGAUCCUAUCGGAGUGUAUGAAAUCGCCAGUCUUUCUACUCUGAAGCUUGUAUUAUACUACGCUGUCUUCAAGAUGCAUUGGCGGCCAGCGUUCCUUGCAAUGUGGGUAGGUCUAGGCAUACUACAGUGUUCUACGCAAUUGCAAGAAGAAGGUUUAGUUCUAAAAGGAAGACUGUGCUGUGAGGAAAGCAAAAUUCUCACUGACAAUGGUUGCGUGCCUGGUGCCAACAAAGCCACUUUCUCACCGCCAAUCUCCGCAAAUCUGUCUCAAAUUACAAGCAACGUCUCGUGGUCUCUCGAGCCGUUAAAAUGUUCCAGCGGAUACUACGUUAACCACCUUCUUCUGGAUGGACGGGAUAAUACGCUAGAUGAAGAGGAGGGAAAGAUUUACCUGAGAUGGUUGGAGGUCAUGGUCUUCAAAAGCAGCUCUGACUACUGCGUGGGGCCGACUGCGGACGGCGGCUACGCGGCUCGGACUUGCCACCCUAAUGUCGAGAAGAUCUGCACGACGGAAACGUGUGUCCAGAAGUGCUGUGGCGACGGAGAGGUUGUGGAGCUGGCAUCGAAGAGCUGCAUAAAACGGGAUGUGGGCGGAUUUUCUCCCGAAUUCCGUACGCUCCAUGGAAGUCCAAUCCCAAGACCCGCGAAUAUUUUGGUGAUCGAGAAGAUGCCUGUUUGCGAAUUUUUGGUUCUCCUCAACCCCCGCGCCAAACCGAAACAGGAGUUCUACCUGCUCCCGAGUGGGACUUUGUAUGAACCGUACUACAACGAAGAAUUCAUGCCGGGCAGAUAUUGUCUGGAAUACUUCGUGGAAAUGUCAGCCGACGUCGCCUUCGUAUGUCGGGAACCUCUAAGUAAGGCCAUAAUAGUCAAGAACCAUCUGCAGGCGGCCGGGUUGGUGGUGUCGUGUGUGUUCCUGUCGGUGACCAUCGUGUGCCACCUCGCCAUCAAACGGCUGCGCGACAUCCAAGGCCUCUGCCUCCUGUGCCACAUGGUGUCGCUGCUGAUCGCUGACGUUGUCCUCUUCAUAGGAUCUCAGUUCUCAAAAGAAAUUAGCAAGUCCCACUGCGUCUUUAAUGGUUUUCUCCUACAGUAUUCAUUUCUUGCGACGUUCUUCUGGCUCAAUGUCAUGUGCUUUGAUGUAUGGCGCGUCAUUAAGGCGACCGUGAAGCUGGUGCCACUGCGGGGUAUCUUAGCCAAUGAUGCCAAGAAGUUCAAGCUGUACUGCGCGUAUGCUUGGGGCGUCCCUCUGGUCGUGACGCUGGUGACCAUCGCGAUGCAUUUCCUGCCCGACGAGAAGGUUUCGGACGCGCUCCUUCGGCCGGGCUUUGGCCUGGAGUCUUGCUGGUUCAGUGGCGAUUAUGAACUUCUGAGUUACUUCUACGGGCUGGUCGGUCUGCUUUUUCUCCUGAACAUGAUUCUCCUCGGCCACACACUCGCGAUGCUGUUCCAGGCCGGCGGCGUCUUCACCCACUGCUGUUCUCGGAAAACCAGUUCACUCACAGCCUUCAACCGGAGUCACCUCGAUGCCUUCUGGCAGCGGUUUAGCCUCUUCUGUUUGAUGGCGCUCUGUUGGGUCACGGAAAUUCUCUCCUGGAAAAUUUAUCCUCAGGAAAUGUGGAUCCCGACAGACUUCAUCAACUCCCUGCAAGGCUUCAUCGUGUUCGUGAUCUUCAUGAGGAGCCGGAAGAAGCGCGAGAUCGUGAGACAGUCGUGGGCGGGCACUGUGUCCACCGUGUCCCAGGCAGUGAGGAAAAUCUCCCGCACGGACGAAACCAGCGUCGUGUUGCACGUGAGCGACAACCAGGUGUGCAUCGCGAACCCCGACGGCUCGUCCUCGGGCAACAGCAAACUCACCGAAGAAAUGACUCCCAACUUGGACGAACGGAAGGACCGAGGGAGCGGCGACGGGGAGGCUUCGCCGGCGGGGGAGACCAACCCAAGCUUCCAAGCAGAUUAAAGCGGAUGUGGGGAUGUUAUCAGAAUUUAUCUUCUGAUAUGAGUGAAUGUGUUGUAGGAUACAGAAAUUGGGUUGCCCGUCAAAUUAUUAUGCCGUGGAAUGUGAAUGUCUAUACUUACCGCCAGUGGUGAAGGAACGAUGCAUACUACUUUGCACAGUUACCCAGAUGUCCUUUACAGCUGCAUCAAUUUCAGCUGUAUUAUUUACAACUGUAUGGGAAGGUUAUAUUAGAUUUAAGUAGAUCUCGUACAUGUAUGCUGACUCCGCCGCCUUGACCUGAACCACAUCUAUAAACGCUUGUGCUUUAAUAAAACUGUGUAAACAUAAA